CGUGCGUAGGGCCGUUCGACGUUGCCAUGGUAACAGCACAAAAACAGCUCGGCUAAACCCGUGUAGCGUCUGGGGGAACGAUAAACUGCGCCUAAAGUAUCCGGCUGGCGGUUUGUUGUCGAGGAUAUUUCACCACCACUGAGGUUCGGAACCAGUCAGGAUGUCCAGUGACCUCGCUGGUGUGUGGGAGGUGGCGCUGAGCGACGGAGUCCACAGGAUCGAGUUUGAACACGGGACAACCACCGGGAAAAGAGUCAUCUAUGUGGACGCAAAGGAGGUUCUGAGGCGGGACUGGAUGUUCAAACUGGUCGGGAAGGAGACGUUCAGCGUGGGCCAGGCGGACACCAAAGCCACCAUCAACAUCGACGCGGUCAGCGGCUUCGCCUACGAAUACACGCUGGAGAUCAACGGGAAGAGCUUGAAGCAGUACAUGGAGAACAGGUCAAAGGUCACCAGCACCUGGCUGCUCAACCUGGACGGCAUCGACUGCAGGGUGGUUCUGGAGAAAGACACCAUGGACAUUUGGUGCAAUGGAGAGAAGAUUGAAACUGCUGGCGAGUUCGUGGACGACGGCACGGAGACGCAUUUCUCCCUGGGAGACCACAGCUGCUGCGUGAAAGCCGUGAGCAGCGGGAAGCGGCGAGACGGCAUCAUUCACACGCUGCUGGUGGACGGCACCGAGGUCGCCGAGUGCACCGAGUGACCCGGUUCGGCCCGGAGUCCGUCCGUCGGACUGGAAACGUUUCCUUUAAAAUGGCUGCCGCGGCGCGGCCGGUCCACACUGGACAGAUAUAAACGCCAUAGAGUCUGUUUAGUGGCAGACGGAGCUGCUAGAAACGUCAGUCAGAAGAUUCAGCGUCUCUAAAGGGUUAUUGUCCAUUUCGAAGACCAAAGCUUUGUCCUGGCUGCUGUCUUUAGAUGUUGCUGCAGCAUUUCCAUACGAUGCUUUUUCCUGAUGAUGCCGUCUUUAGGAAGUGGCACCAGUUCCUCCUGCAUGGAGGCAGCCCCACACCAUGAUACUGCCACCGCAGAUGGGAUGAGAACUGGCUUCUUCCUUGCUGAGCGGCUGCAGGACGGGAAGCUUCUGCAAUCAUAACGGAGGCUCAGACGUCUCUGCUGAACAUUUCCUGUUCAGUUUUUUACUGGACAACCGUUUGUAUCCUAGCAACCGAAGUCAAUAAAGCAAGAUGGCAACAAAAGACAAAACCAGA
Molecule: RNA transcript, 1211 nt
Organism: Poecilia reticulata (guppy)
Lineage: Eukaryota; Metazoa; Chordata; Actinopteri; Cyprinodontiformes; Poeciliidae
Gene: faima
Gene name: Fas apoptotic inhibitory molecule a
Source: RefSeq, a predicted model, not a curated record